CCUACGGGGGGCAGCAGUAGGGAAUCUUCCACAAUGGGCGCAAGCCUGAUGGAGCAACGCCGCGUGGGUGAAGAAGGUCUUCGGAUCGUAAAGCUCUGUCCUCAAGGAAGAUAAUGACGGUACUUGAGGAGGAAGCCCCGGCUAACUACGUGCCAGCAGCCGCGGUAAUACGUAGGGGGCUAGCGUUAUCCGGAAUUACUGGGCGUAAAGGGUGCGUAGGUGGUUUCUUAAGUCAGAGGUGAAAGGCUACGGCUCAACCGUAGUAAGCCUUUGAAACUGGGAAACUUGAGUGCAGGAGAGGAGAG
Molecule: ribosomal RNA, 305 nt
Filed under: uncultured bacterium
Lineage: Bacteria
Description: bacterial SSU rRNA
Rfam family: Bacterial small subunit ribosomal RNA
Source: RNAcentral